Molecule: long non-coding RNA, 733 nt
Filed under: Mus musculus (house mouse)
Lineage: Eukaryota; Metazoa; Chordata; Mammalia; Rodentia; Muridae
Description: predicted gene 13348 (Gm13348)
Source: RNAcentral
AGUAUGAAAGGAGACUGAAGUGAACAUCAUGAGAUAAGAUUCAAGGGGGAACUGAACUCAACCAGGAAGCUAGGAGGGAAAGAAGGAUAGAGGGGAGAGAAAGAGAUAAUCUAUCCGCAAAUCUAAUUUCUACUGACAAACAGCCACCAACCCACCUGAAUGACCAACAACCAUCAACCUCACCUCUCAGGUAGUGCCACCUCUGCUGAUUCAUGUUUGAUAUCCAAAUUCUACUGAACUGGACUGCUGGUGUAUCUGUGAAGUGUUUCUGAGUGGAUUGAGCUGUUGCCAUUGGCCUGUGAACUGAACUGCUGAUUUCCAGACAACACAGAUGAGAGUUGCUUCAAAGAACCCUUCCUAAACAGGUGACAGUUCAUGAAAGCUCCAUUCGUGGACGUCUACGCACAACUUGAUGGUCACUCAACAGAGCCAAGAAUCUCCUCUUGACAGUGCUGUUGGUUAGUCUCAUCACUCAACAGUUGUUUCCUGUUCAACAAGUUGGGUAGGGGCCUUCCAGACUCUUCCAAGUUUUUACUUUUUAGUUUUAAUUUUUUACUUUGACAUGAUGUCUGUUUACCUCCCCAGUCUCAUGAGCCUCCGCCUUCCUCCUAUAGAUUAUGUUUCAAUUUGAGGCAAGUGCUAUACAAUUGUAUGUAUAUGUGUGUGGGGAUGAGUGUAACUUUGGGUUAGAGUUGGUUCCAGGAAUGGAACAGAAAUAAACAGGUUGGAACAA